CAGCCGCCGCGGGAAUACAGAGGUCCCGAGCGUUGUUCGGAUUCAUUGGGCGUAAAGGGUGCGUAGGCGGCUUUCUAAGUUUGAUGUGAAAUCCUGGGGCUCAACCCUGGAACUGCAUUGAAUACUGGGAGGCUAGAGAACUGGAGAGGAGACUGGAAUUUACGGUGUAGCAGUGAAAUGCGUAGAGAUCGUAAGGAAGACCAGUGGCGAAGGCGAGUCUCCGGACAGUUACUGACGCUGAGGCACGAAGGCCAGGGGAGCAAACGGGAUUAGAUACCCCCGUAGUCCCUGUCUCUUAUAC
Molecule: ribosomal RNA, 301 nt
Filed under: uncultured bacterium
Lineage: Bacteria
Description: partial 16S ribosomal RNA
Rfam family: Bacterial small subunit ribosomal RNA
Source: RNAcentral